RNAcentral lists this ribosomal RNA (1557 nucleotides) under Escherichia coli. RNAcentral's name for it is "bacterial SSU rRNA". It matches the Rfam family "Bacterial small subunit ribosomal RNA". The record is from RNAcentral. Lineage: Bacteria; Pseudomonadati; Pseudomonadota; Gammaproteobacteria; Enterobacterales; Enterobacteriaceae.
AAAUUGAAGAGUUUGAUCAUGGCUCAGAUUGAACGCUGGCGGCAGGCCUAACACAUGCAAGUCGAACGGUAACAGGAAGAAGCUUGCUUCUUUGCUGACGAGUGGCGGACGGGUGAGUAAUGUCUGGGAAACUGCCUGAUGGAGGGGGAUAACUACUGGAAACGGUAGCUAAUACCGCAUAACGUCGCAAGACCAAAGAGGGGGACCUUCGGGCCUCUUGCCAUCGGAUGUGCCCAGAUGGGAUUAGCUUGUUGGUGGGGUAACGGCUCACCAAGGCGACGAUCCCUAGCUGGUCUGAGAGGAUGACCAGCCACACUGGAACUGAGACACGGUCCAGACUCCUACGGGAGGCAGCAGUGGGGAAUAUUGCACAAUGGGCGCAAGCCUGAUGCAGCCAUGCCGCGUGUAUGAAGAAGGCCUUCGGGUUGUAAAGUACUUUCAGCGGGGAGGAAGGGAGUAAAGUUAAUACCUUUGCUCAUUGACGUUACCCGCAGAAGAAGCACCGGCUAACUCCGUGCCAGCAGCCGCGGUAAUACGGAGGGUGCAAGCGUUAAUCGGAAUUACUGGGCGUAAAGCGCACGCAGGCGGUUUGUUAAGUCAGAUGUGAAAUCCCCGGGCUCAACCUGGGAACUGCAUCUGAUACUGGCAAGCUUGAGUCUCGUAGAGGGGGGGUAGAAUUCCAGGUGUAGCGGUGAAAUGCGUAGAGAUCUGGAGGAAUACCGGUGGCGAAGGCGGCCCCCUGGACGAAGACUGACGCUCAGGUGCGAAAGCGUGGGGAGCAAACAGGAUUAGAUACCCUGGUAGUCCACGCCGUAAACGAUGUCGACUUGGAGGUUGUGCCCUUGAGGCGUGGCUUCCGGAGCUAACGCGUUAAGUCGACCGCCUGGGGAGUACGGCCGCAAGGUUAAAACUCAAAUGAAUUGACGGGGGCCCGCACAAGCGGUGGAGCAUGUGGUUUAAUUCGAUGCAACGCGAAGAACCUUACCUCUGGUCUUGACAUCCACAGAACUUUCCAGAGAUGGAUUGGUGCCUUCGGGAACUGUGAGACAGGUGCUGCAUGGCUGUCGUCAGCUCGUGUUGUGAAAUGUUGGGUUAAGUCCCGCAACGAGCGCAACCCUUAUCCUUUGUUGCCAGCGGUCCGGCCGGGAACUCAAAGGAGACUGCCAGUGAUAAACUGGAGGAAGGUGGGGAUGACGUCAAGUCAUCAUGGCCCUUACGACCAGGGCUACACACGUGCUACAAUGGCGCAUACAAAGAGAAGCGACCUCGCGAGAGCAAGCGGACCUCAUAAAGUGCGUCGUAGUCCGGAUUGGAGUCUGCAACUCGACUCCAUGAAGUCGGAAUCGCUAGUAAUCGUGGAUCAGAAUGCCACGGUGAAUACGUUCCCGGGCCUUGUACACACCGCCCGUCACACCAUGGGAGUGGGUUGCAAAAGAAGUAGGUAGCUUAACCUUCGGGAGGGCGCUUACCACUUUGUGAUUCAUGACUGGGGUGAAGUCGUAACAAGGUAACCGUAGGGGAACCUGCGGUUGGAUCACCUCCUUACCUUAAAGAAGC